Molecule: ribosomal RNA, 2016 nt
Filed under: Triticum aestivum (bread wheat)
Lineage: Eukaryota; Viridiplantae; Streptophyta; Magnoliopsida; Poales; Poaceae
Description: partial small subunit ribosomal RNA
Source: RNAcentral
AUGGAGGCCAGAGACGGCGGCUCAGCGCCCCUGCCGUGCUCCUACGCGCCGCUGCCGGAGGAUGCCGAGGCCGCCGCCACGGUGGGGCGUGCGCGCCGGACUGCUGGCCCGCUCUGUGCCGCCCUGCUGCUGGCGACGGCAGCCGUGCUCCUAGUGGUAGCCGCGCUCGCCGGCGUCAGACUCGCUGACCAGCUGCCUGUGGGUGGCAACAUGUCUGACCACCAGACGACGGUCGACGCCGCGCCGAUGAGCACCAGCAGCCGGGGGCCUGAGUCUGGCGUCUCGGAGAAGACGUCUGGCGCCGCCACGCACGGUGGCAUGCUUGGCGCGGACGCCGGCGGCAACGCGUUCCCGUGGAGCAAUGCCAUGCUCCAGUGGCAGCGCACAGGUUUCCACUUCCAGCCCGAGAAGAACUGGAUGAACGACCCCAACGGCCCCGUGUACUAUAAGGGGUGGUACCACCUCUUUUACCCGUACAACCCAGACGGCGCCAUCUGGGGCAACAAGAUUGCCUGGGGUCACGCCGCCUCCCGCGACCUCGUGCGUUGGCACCACCUCCCGGUCGCAAUGUCCCCUGACCAGUGGUACGACAUCAAUGGCGUCUGGUCGGGCUCUGCUACCGUCCUCCCCGACGGCCGCAUCGUCAUGCUCUACACCGGGUCCACCAACGCAUCGGUCCAGGUCCAAUGCCUCGCCUUCCCCACCGAUCCCUUCGAUCCUUUGCUCAUCAACUGGACCAAGUAUGAGAACAACCCGGUGAUGUACCCACCACCGGGUGUCGGGGAGAAGGACUUCAGGGACCCGACCACUGCAUGGUUUGACGGUUCGGACGACACUUGGCGGCUAGUCAUCGGCUCCAAGGAUGACCGCCAUGCCGGUAUGGUGAUGACCUACAAGACGAAGGAUUUCAUCAACUACGAGCUUGUCCCUGGGCUGCUUCACCGUGUGCCAGGUACGGGGAUGUGGGAGUGCAUCGACUUGUACCCCGUCGGUGGCGUGACGGGCAUCGACAUGACGGAGGCAGUGGCCGCGGCGUCCAACAACGGCGGCGGUGAUGUUUUGCACGUGAUGAAGGAGAGCUCCGAUGAUAAUCGACAUGACUACUACGCGCUCGGAAGGUACGACGCGGCGAAAAACACAUGGACGCCACUGGACACUAACGCCGAUGUCGGCAUUGGGCUGAGGUAUGACUGGGGAAAGUUCUAUGCAUCCAAGACGUUCUAUGAUCCGGCCAAGAAGCGGCGAGUGUUGUGGGGGUGGAUCGGUGAGACGGACUCCGAGCGUGCUGACGUCGCCAAGGGAUGGGCCUCCCUCCAGUCGAUCCCUCGGACGGUGGUACUGGACACCAAGACAGGGAGCAACAUCCUGCAAUGGCCGGUAGAGGAGGUGGAGACGCUCCGGACCAACUCCACCAACCUUGGCAGUGUUACCGUCGACCACGGCUCCGUAGUCCCACUCAGUCUUCACCGUGCCACCCAACUCGACAUCGAGGCCUCAUUCCGUAUUGACCCGCUCGACUUCGCCGCUGCGAAGGAGGCGGAUAUCGGCUACAACUGCAGCACCAGCGGUGGCACGACUGGACGGGGCACGCUUGGUCCCUUCGGCCUCCUUGUGCUCGCUGAUGCCAGGCGCCACGGUGGUGAUAUGGAGCGGACCGGCGUCUACUUCUACGUCGCGAGAGGCCUCGACGGCGGCCUGCGCACACACUUCUGUCAUGACGAGACACGCUCAUCUCAUGCCAACGAUAUUGUCAAGAGGGUCGUAGGCAAUAUUGUCCCCGUGCUCAAUGGCGAGGAGUUUUCGCUGAGGGUGCUAGUGGAUCAUUCCAUCGUUGAGAGCUUUGCGAUGGGCGGGAGGUUGACCGCGACAUCGCGGGUGUACCCGACGGAGGCCAUCUACGCGAACGCAGGCGUAUACCUCUUCAACAACGCCACCGGUGCACGGGUCACCACCACGAGCCUCGUCGUCCACGAGAUGGACUCCUCCUACAACCAGGCCUACAUGGCCUCACUGUAA